This 110-nucleotide ribosomal RNA is filed under the name Labrus bergylta (ballan wrasse). Lineage: Eukaryota; Metazoa; Chordata; Actinopteri; Labriformes; Labridae. The record is from RNAcentral.
GCUUACGGCCAUACCACCCUGAACACGCCCGAUUCUCGGAAGCUAAGCAGGGUCGGGCCUGGUUAGUACUUGGAUGGGAGACCGCCUGGGAAUACCAGGUGCUGUAAGCU